Myotis davidii is the source of this 73-nucleotide non-coding RNA. NCBI's taxonomy places the organism in Eukaryota, Metazoa, Chordata, Mammalia, Chiroptera, Vespertilionidae. The record is from Rfam.
ACUGGUUUGGCUCAGUGGAUAGAGCAUCAGCCUGUGGACUGAAGGGUCUCAGGUUCAAUUCCUGUCAAGAGUA